AGUGAACGCUGGCGGUAGGCCUAACACAUGCAAGUCGAACGGCAGCACAGUAAGAGCUUGCUCUUACGGGUGGCGAGUGGCGGACGGGUGAGGAAUACAUCGGAAUCUACUUUUUCGUGGGGGAUAACGUAGGGAAACUUACGCUAAUACCGCAUACGACCUACGGGUGAAAGCAGGGGAUCUUCGGACCUUGCGCGAUUGAAUGAGCCGAUGUCGGAUUAGCUAGUUGGCGGGGUAAAGGCCCACCAAGGCGACGAUCCGUAGCUGGUCUGAGAGGAUGAUCAGCCACACUGGAACUGAGACACGGUCCAGACUCCUACGGGAGGCAGCAGUGGGGAAUAUUGGACAAUGGGCGCAAGCCUGAUCCAGCCAUACCGCGUGGGUGAAGAAGGCCUUCGGGUUGUAAAGCCCUUUUGUUGGGAAAGAAAAGCAGCAGGAUAAUACCCCGCUGUUCUGACGGUACCCAAAGACUAAGCACCGGCUAACUUCGUG
This 492-nucleotide ribosomal RNA is filed under the name uncultured bacterium. RNAcentral's name for it is "partial 16S ribosomal RNA". It matches the Rfam family "Bacterial small subunit ribosomal RNA", at positions 29 to 507 of the family's 1533-position model. The record is from RNAcentral.